This 950-nucleotide ribosomal RNA is filed under the name uncultured archaeon. RNAcentral describes it as "bacterial SSU rRNA". It matches the Rfam family "Archaeal small subunit ribosomal RNA", at positions 1 to 940 of the family's 1478-position model. The record is from RNAcentral.
UUCCGGUUGAUCCUGCCGGACCCGACUGCUAUUUGGGUGAGGAUAAGCCAUGCGAGUUGAAUGGGAAACCUAAAAAUCCCAUGGCAAACUGCUCAGUAACACAUGAUCAACUUACCCUAUAGAGGAAAAUAACCUCGGGAAACUGAGGAUAAUGUUCCAUAGUUGAAUCGGCUUGGAAAAGUUUUUCAAUAAAAGGGAUAAGGAAAAUGGUCCUUAUCUGCUAUAGGAUAGGAUCGUGCUCGAUUAUGGUUGUUGGUGAGGUAAAGGCUCACCAAGCCGAUAAUCGAUAGGGGCCGUGAGAGCGGGAGCCCCGAGAUGGGUACUGAGACAACGACCCAGGCCUUACGAGGCGCAGCAGGCGCGAAACCUCCGCAAUACACGAAAGUGUGACGGGGUUACCCAAAGUGUUCAUUAGAACUGUGGUAGGUGAGUAAUGUUCCCUACUAGAAAGGAGAGGGCAAGGCUGGUGCCAGCCGCCGCGGUAAAACCAGCUCUUCAAGUGGUCGGGAUAAUUAUUGGGCUUAAAGUGUCCGUAGCCGGUUUAGUAAGUUCCUGGUAAAAUCGGGUAGCUUAACUAUCUAUAUGCUAGGAAUACUGCUAUACUAGAGGGCGGGAGAGGUCUGAGGUACUACAGGGGUAGGGGUGAAAUCUUAUAAUCCUUGUAGGACCACCAGUGGCGAAGGCGACAGACUGGAACGCGCCUGACGGUGAGGGACGAAAGCCAGGGGAGCGAGCCGGAUUAGAUACCCGGGUAGUCCUGGCCGUAAACGAUGCAUACUAGGUGAUGGCACGGCCAUGAGCCGUGUCAGUGCCGUAGGGAAACCGUUUAAGUGUGCCGCCUGGGAAGUACGGUCGCAAGGCUAAAACUUAAAGGAAUUGGCGGGGGAGCACCACAAGGGGUGAAGCCUGCGGUUCAAUUGGAUUCAACGCCGGAAAUCACUAGUGCGGCC